CCGCGUGGAGGAUGAAAUAUCUUGGUAUGCAAACUCCUUUCGAUGGGGAAGAUUAUGACGGUACCCAUAGAAGAAGCCCCGGCUAACUUCGUGC
Molecule: ribosomal RNA, 94 nt
Filed under: uncultured bacterium
Lineage: Bacteria
Description: partial 16S ribosomal RNA
Rfam family: Bacterial small subunit ribosomal RNA
Source: RNAcentral